This 460-nucleotide ribosomal RNA is filed under the name uncultured bacterium. RNAcentral describes it as "partial 16S ribosomal RNA". It matches the Rfam family "Bacterial small subunit ribosomal RNA", at positions 338 to 795 of the family's 1533-position model. The record is from RNAcentral.
CCUACGGGAGGCAGCAGUGAGGAAUAUUGGUCAAUGGGCGUAAGCCUGAACCAGCCAAGUCGCGUGAGGGAUGAAGGUUCUAUGGAUCGUAAACCUCUUUUAUAAGGGAAUAAAGUGCGGGACGUGUCCCGUUUUGUAUGUACCUUAUGAGUAAGGAUCGGCUAACUCCGUGCCAUCAGCCGCGGUGAUACGGAGGGUCCGGUAGUUAUCCGAAUGUAUUGGGUGUAAAGGGUGCGUAGGCGGCCCUUUAAGUCAGUGUGGAAAUUCUGUGGCUCAACCAUAGAAUUGCCGGUGACACUGGGAGGCUUGAGUAUGUUUGAGGCAGGCGGAAUGCGUGGUGUAGCGGUGAAAUGCGUAGAUAUCACGCAGAACCCCGAUGGCGAAGGCAGCCUGCCAAGCCAUGACUGACGCUGAUGCACGAAAGCGUGGGGAUCAAACAGGAUUAGAUACCCGUGUAGUC